This 497-nucleotide ribosomal RNA is filed under the name uncultured bacterium. Its description in RNAcentral is "partial 16S ribosomal RNA". It matches the Rfam family "Bacterial small subunit ribosomal RNA", at positions 28 to 507 of the family's 1533-position model. The record is from RNAcentral.
GAUGAACGCUGGCGGCGUGCCUAAUACAUGCAAGUCGAGCGAACAGACGAGGAGCUUGCUCCUCUGACGUGAGGGGCGGACGGGUGAGUAACACGUGGAUAAUCUACCUAUAUGACUGGGAUAAUCUCGGGAAACCGGAGCAAAUACCGGAUAAGCUAUUGAACCGCAGGGGUGAAUGGUGAAAGACGGCGUUGCGGUAACGUAUAGAGGCAUCCGCGCCGGAUUAUCUGGUUGUGAAGGUAAAGGCUUACCAAGGGAACGAUGCGUAGCCGAGCUGAGAGGGUGAUCGCCCACACUGGAGCUGGGACACGGUCCAGACUCCUACGGGAGGCAGCAGUCGCGAAUCUUCCGCAAUGGGCGAAAGCCUGACGGAGCAACGCCGCGUGAGUUAUGAAGGUCUUCGGAUCGUAAAACUCUGUUAUUAGGGAAGAACAAAUGUGUAAGUAACUAUGCACGUCUUGACGGUACCUAAUCAGAAAGCCCCGGCUAACUACGUG